AUGACGAUCGCCGGCGGGGAUCUGUCGGUCCGCCGGCGGACGGUGUCGGCAUCGUCUUCCGCGGCUGCCAGGGGCCCCGUCGACGGCGUCCCACGCCGAGCCCGAGCGUGGCUCGCUGUGGCGCUGUGCCUCUUCGCACUGCUGCGGCUCGGGGCGGCGGCGGAGUCGGGCGUCGUCAAGGUGGACGGCCCCGUCGCCAUCGCGUCCACCGGCGACUUCUUCGUCUGCGCCACGCUCGACUGGUGGCCGCCGGACAAGUGCGACUACGGCACGUGCAGCUGGGGCAGCGCCUCCCUACUCAACCUGGACCUCUCCAACGGAAUCCUGCUCAACGCCGUCAGAGCCUUCUCGCCGCUGGUGCUCCGGCUGGGCGGCACGCUGCAGGACAAGGUGAUCUACCACACCCCGGGCGACGGGCGGCUGCCGUGCGUGCCCUUCACCAAGAGCGAGUCGGCGGUGUUCGGCUUCACUCGCGGGUGCCUGACCAUGGCCCGCUGGGACGAGCUCAACGCCUUCUUCCAGAAAUCUGGUGCAAAGGUAGUCUUCGGGCUGAACGCUCUCAACGGCCGUGAUCCGGAUGGCGGGUAUUAUAUGGGAGGGAGCUGGGACAUGACCAAUGCAGCAUCCUUCAUCCAGUACACCGUCAGCAAGGGCUACGACAUCCAUGGCUGGGAGCUCGGAAAUGAGCUCGGAGGCAAGGCAGUCGGCACCUUGAUCGCAGCCGAUAUGUACGCCCAAGACGCUACCUUUCUGAAAUGGGUCAUGGAAUAUAUUUACGAGGACAGCCCAUCGAAGCCGCUGCUGCUCGCUCCGGGAAGCUUCUUCGACGAAGACUGGUUCGGCGAGUUCAUCACCAAAACCAGUCCAGAUACCGUCAGUGUGGUUAGCCACCACAUUUACAACCUAGGGCCAGGGGUGGACACACACAUCGUCGAGAAGAUCCUCGACCCGUCGUUCCUCGAUGGAACGGCAAGAACAUUCAGUGACCUCCAGAGGUUGCUGAAAACCGCAGGGACGUCGGCCGCCGCGUGGGUUGGCGAGGCUGGAGGGGCUUACAACAGUGGCCACCACCUUGUGACCGACGCAUUUGUGUUCAGCUUCUGGUACCUGGACCAACUUGGCAUGUCGGCGAAGUACGACACGAAGACUUACUGCAGGCAGAGCUUCAUUGGUGGCAACUAUGGCCUGCUCAAUACAACAACAUUCCAACCAAACCCUGACUACUACAGUGCUCUACUAUGGCAUCGCCUGAUGGGUAGCACAGUUCUAGACGCCAAAUUCAGCGGCACCAACAACCUGAUCCGUGCCUACGCACAUUGUGCGAAGAACUCGCCAGGGAUCACUAUCUUGCUUAUAAACCUCCACAGCAACGCCAGGAAUGACGUGUCCUUGACAAGUGAGGAGCUGCGUGUAGUUCAGGCGUCUGGAGCCACGAGGGAGGAGUACCACCUCCUCCCUGAAGGUGGCGACAUUCAGAGCCAGGUGAUGAUGCUCAACGGCAGGCCCUUGACCACUGAUGCCGAUGGGAACAUCCCCAGGAUGGAGCCCAUGACAGUGGAUGCAGCGCAGCCCAUCUCUAUUGCGCCUCUGUCCAUUGUUUUUGUUCAUAUGCCCAGUUAUUAUGCCCCUGUGUGUAGUUAA
RNAcentral lists this ribosomal RNA (1641 nucleotides) under Triticum aestivum (bread wheat). RNAcentral describes it as "partial small subunit ribosomal RNA". The record is from RNAcentral. Lineage: Eukaryota; Viridiplantae; Streptophyta; Magnoliopsida; Poales; Poaceae.